Molecule: small nucleolar RNA, 150 nt
Organism: Magnolia sinica
Lineage: Eukaryota; Viridiplantae; Streptophyta; Magnoliopsida; Magnoliales; Magnoliaceae
Product: small nucleolar RNA snoR137
Exons: 1
Source: RefSeq, a predicted model, not a curated record
GUUGCUUCUUACUGACCGAGUUUUCCAUGAUGUGUGGGAAACCUCUUGUUGGGAAGCAUAGAUUGAAUUAAAAAAGCAGCCAGUAUUAAACAGCAUGAUGUUAUCAUUUACAUGUUAAUUGCAUCAUGUUACCUGUCUCCUGGCACAUCC